This 450-nucleotide ribosomal RNA is filed under the name uncultured bacterium. Its description in RNAcentral is "partial 16S ribosomal RNA". It matches the Rfam family "Bacterial small subunit ribosomal RNA", at positions 354 to 796 of the family's 1533-position model. The record is from RNAcentral.
GUGGGGAAUAUUGCACAAUGGGCGCAAGCCUGAUCCAGCAAUGCCGCGUGCAGGAAGAAGGCCUUCGGGUUGUAAACUGCUUUUGUACGGAACGAAACGGUCCUGGUUAAUACCCGGGGCUAAUGACGGUACCGUAAGAAUAAGCACCGGCUAACUACGUGCCAGCAGCCGCGGUAAUACGUAGGGUGCAAGCGUUAAUCGGAAUUACUGGGCGUAAAGCGUGCGCAGGCGGUGCUGUAAGACAGGCGUGAAAUCCCCGGGCUUAACCUGGGAAUUGCGCUUGUGACUGCAGUGCUGGAGUGCGGCAGAGGGGGAUGGAAUUCCGCGUGUAGCAGUGAAAUGCGUAGAUAUGCGGAGGAACACCGAUGGCGAAGGCAAUCCCCUGGGCCUGCACUGACGCUCAUGCACGAAAGCGUGGGGAGCAAACAGGAUUAGAUACCCCUGUAGUCC